Non-coding RNA from Amborella trichopoda, 154 nucleotides. NCBI's taxonomy places the organism in Eukaryota, Viridiplantae, Streptophyta, Magnoliopsida, Amborellales, Amborellaceae. The record is from Rfam.
CCCACACCCAUGUAUGUAGGAUCCCUAAUGAUCACUAUUAAAUUUGGCACAGAUCUCAAGAAAAGUUAUCACAUGGGUGUGGAACUUGACUUUUCUAGAGAUCUGUGUCAAAUUUAAUGGUGAUCUUUUAAGGUCCUACACACAUGGGUGUGGG